RNAcentral lists this ribosomal RNA (457 nucleotides) under uncultured bacterium. RNAcentral's name for it is "SSU rRNA". It matches the Rfam family "Bacterial small subunit ribosomal RNA", at positions 26 to 518 of the family's 1533-position model. The record is from RNAcentral.
AGGAUAAACGCUGGCGGCGUGCCUAAUACAUGCAAGUCGAGCGGCAGCGCGGUCUUCGGACUGGCGGCGAGCGGCGGACGGCUGAGUAACACGUAGGAACGUACCCCAAAGUGAGGGAUAAGCACCAGAAAUGGUGUCUAAUACCGCAUGUGCUCUAAGGAGUAAAGCUUCGGCGCUUUGGGAACGGCCUACGCAUGAUUAGCUUGUUGGUGAGGUAAUGGCUCACCAAGGCGACGAUCAUUAGCUGGUCUGAGAGGAUGAUCAGCCAGACUGGGACUGAGAACGGCCCAGACUCCUACGGGAGGCAGCAGUAGGGAAUUUUCCACAAUGGGCGAAAGCCUGAUGGAGCAACGCCGCGUGCAGGAUGAAGGCCUUAGGGUUGUAAACUGCUUUUAUGUGUGACGAAUAUGACGGUAGCAUAUGAAUAAGGAUCGGCUAACUCCGUGCCAGCAGCCGC